RNAcentral lists this long non-coding RNA (5558 nucleotides) under Solanum tuberosum (potato). RNAcentral describes it as "long non-coding RNA (STUB_LNC010607)". Lineage: Eukaryota; Viridiplantae; Streptophyta; Magnoliopsida; Solanales; Solanaceae. The record is from RNAcentral.
GACUGAUUUGCAAUAACGUCAAAAAAUAAUGCCUUGUACUACACAUACAUAAAAAACAAUAUUUUAAAGAUGUGUAAUUUCAAUGAAAUCCACAAAAUCAAAUGUAUUCAAACUUAAGUAUAUACUUCAAAAACUCUUUGAUCAGUAUUGCCAUUCAAAUUCAAUCACCCGCAUUUCCCUACACAUUAAAAAAGAAAUUAAAAAUUAGAGAGAAUCCUUGUUAAACAAAUUGAAUGUAAUCAGAUUUCAUGUUCAUAUGUAAUAGAUAUCAGUGACAAAACAUUAAAAAGAAACCAUGUUCUAACAGAAAAAUGUUAGAAUCAUCUGAUGAACCAUUGUAGAAACAAAGCCAGCGAUGAUAGAAUCAAUGCUCACAAGGAAGAUCAAGCUAAAAAAAUCAAAGACCAAAGAGUUGAUAAGGAUAUGAUGGAUGAGUUGCAACCUGCCUCAAGAAGGAAGACAAUCAAAACCAAACAACCUCAGAAAUCACGCAACAACAUGUUACUGGCAGCAACAUGUAACUGGCAGCAACAAGGAAGGCAAAAUGCAAGGUCAUCUGAUGAACCAUUAUAGAAACAAAGCCAAUGAUAAUAUAAUCAAUGCUCAAAAGGAAGAACAAGCUAAAAAAGUCAAAGACCAAAGAGUUGAUAAGGAUAUGAUGGAUGGCAUUCAACAUGUAUCGAGAAGGAAGACAAUCAAAACCAAACAACCUCAGAAAUCACGCAACAACAUGUUACUGGCAGCAACAUGUAACUGGCAGCAACAAGGAAGGCAAAAUGCAAGGUCAUCUGAUGAACCAUUAUAGAAACAAAGCCAAUGAUAAUAUAAUCAAUGCUCAAAAGGAAGAACAAGCUAAAAAAGUCAAAGACCAAAGAGUUGAUAAGGAUAUGAUGGAUGAGUUGCAACCUGCCUCAAGAAGGAAGACAAUCAAAACCAAACAACCUCAGAAAUCACGCAACAACAUGUUACUGGCAGCAACAUGUAACUGGCAGCAACAAGGAAGGCAAAAUGCAAGGUCAUCUGAUGAACCAUUAUAGAAACAAAGCCAAUGAUAAUAUAAUCAAUGCUCAAAAGGAAGAACAAGCUAAAAAAAUCAAAGACCAAAGAGUUGAUAAGGAUAUGAUGGAUGGCAUUCAACAUGUAUCGAGAAGGAAGACAAUCAAAACCAAACAACCUCAGAAACCAGGCAGAAACAUUUUACUGGCAGCAACAAGGAAAACAAAAUGCAAGGUCAUCUAAUGAACCAUUGUAGAAACAAAGCCAGCGAUAAUACAAUCAGUUCUCAAAAGGAAGAACAACCUAAAAAAAUCAAAGACCAAAGAGUUGAUAAGGAUAUGAUGGAUGAGUUGCAACCUGCCUCAAGAAGGAAGACAAUCAAAACCAAACAACCUCAGAAAUCACGCAACAACAUGUUACUGGCAGCAACAUGUAACUGGCAGCAACAAGGAAGGCAAAAUGCAAGGUCAUCUGAUGAACCAUUAUAGAAACAAAGCCAAUGAUAAUAUAAUCAAUGCUCAAAAGGAAGAACAAGCUAAAAAAGUCAAAGACCAAAGAGUUGAUAAGGAUAUGAUGGAUGACUUUCAACCUAUCUCUAGAAGAAAGACAAUCAAAACCAAACAACCUCAAAAAUCACGAAGCAACAUGUAACUGGAAGCAACAAGGAAGGCAAUACUGGUGUCUCCUUUUACAAAAGAAAAUGAGUGAAUCAUCAGAAAAUUGAGCACAAGUGUAACUGGCUCUAUUUAUGCAUACACCUUAGUCUCAUUAACUCAAUCAACUUCGGGAAAUAAUUAGUCAACUUGCCUACUAUCAUAGAGGAAAAAAAGGACUUCCAAAGAAACAGAGAAGGUUGAUUAGCCAAUUAUCACAGAUUUACAAUCCUAUAAUAUAGUCUUCAAGACACUAAUUAGCUAACAUAUUGUUCACAAAAAUAAACAUGUAUUAAACUUGUUUUAACUCAUAAUAGAAAGACAUUUAAGUUUCUUGUGAGUGUGAAACAGAAAAUGCCUUUUGAAGAACUGAAUCAUGAGUUGACCUAGAAGAAUGUGGAAGAUUUUGGCCUCUUAUAGCUUGUGCACUACUCGCAUCAUCAGGUUAAGCAAGGUUAGAUCCGACACCCCUGGUAUAUCUUGAACAUUCAAUCCAGGGUUGUUUUACAGCAAUUGACUAAAUAAAUGUCACAUUUCUUCUCUCAUUUCAUUCAUUUCUUCUUUUACAGAAGUGAUUUCAUUGGCAUGCUUUUAUUUUAGCUUGUUAGUUUCCUCAUCUUUCUUUAAAGAAAUUUUUAUCACUGAUCUACCAUAGCACCUAAGUCGACCAGGCUGCUCCUUUCCAAACACUGCCCUAAACGCAUCAUUAGUUGUUUCCCCGAAAUUUUGGCGAUUCUGAAGUUCAACCUAUUGAAUAAAAUUGACAUCCAUAUUAAAUAUAAGUACUACUUUAUGUCCACCUAAAAUGAGUUUAUGAUUCAUUAAGUUAACUUUAAUUGACAUCCCUUCCGAGCAAACUGUCCAGCGACUCAAGCAUUUUAAAAUAAAAUUAUCACCCUCUACCAACAAAUCAAUAGUCUUGUGAUAGAGAUCAAGAACUAAAAAGAUCUAACAAAUUUUCUUAGCAAAUAAUUCAGAGACAUCGACGAAGAACUGAUUUAUCACUGCAUGUGCAUGACAUUGGUAAAAGAUGCAGCAAGUAAUACAUGGAGAAAUAAACCAGCCUUUUUUCAAGGAAAUUCAUCAGACUGCAUUUAACUUUGUGUUGGCAAAGGAUAACAGGGAACUUUACUUCCAGUUAGCCAAUAAUUUUUUAUGUGCCAAUCCAAUUCAGAAAGUGUCAACCACCAGAUCCUUUAUUGUGCAGUAGCAACUGACCUUUGGUGCAUGUUCUUACUAUUGUUAGACUGAACUGGGCUAUGCCAUUCACUGUUCGAGAAGCCUACGUGAGCUGCAAUUCAAAGAAAGUUGAUAAAAACACCAAAAAAUAGCAUCCUCUCACGAAAAUAGUCCAUCAACUUGUUCAAAUAUCCUAAAUUUUGUAGCUCAUGUUACUUUCCUUUACUUAAUUAUAUAAUUGGUGUCCAUUCAGUAAACUAACAAAUUUACACUGCUUAGGUAGAAUGAAUGCUAAAAAUUUGUUCAAAUUUCCAUAAAUUUUCACUUCAUGAUACUUACCUCUACCUAGUUGUCACUCCCCAAGCCUACACCCUGGGUGGGACUGGCACUCGAGAACCAUUAUUGGCCUCAAGCGGACCCUUGGCCUGGCUUAACUCUUAGCAGAAGACUUACCCAUGAUAAAAUUCUUUAAAAAGUAAAUUGAACUGCUCAAUAGAUAACUUAGAAUGUAUUAAAUAACAGUCGACUUAGACAAGGUGGCAACUCAAAGUUCAACAUAAACCAAUAAUAAGAUAAUGACAAAUGAACUAACUAACUGUCUAUGAAGCCUCUAAUAACUGAGAUGGAUUUCGGGACAAGACCCCUCGAUCAUCCUAACAGCUAAAAACUACUAAACCAAUAUAAAUAGGGAUCCUCUAGAAAGCAAAGAGGCUCACCACAAGACUGUGAAUGCUCAACUAGAUCAAUGAAGCGCUCGAUGCUGAUCCUAGUUACUAGUAUCUACAUCAUAAAAAUGAUACAAGUCAAAUGGUGCCAGUACAUUAAAUGUAUGAGCAUGCGAGGGGAACUCUAAAACAAGACAUAAGCUUGAAAGGAACUGAAAGAACAUACUUGGGCUCAACUCAACUCAACUUAAUAUAAAGAAAAACUUUUCAAACCUGGAUAACAACUCUGUGUAUUUAGAAAUGUAAUAGUAACUCUGAAUGUAUGCAAAGAUACAAUUUAAACUCUGAAUGUAUAUAAAAAUACAAUUAACUCUGCGUAUAUAAGAAUACAAAAUACUGUUGUGGGAGUUUCUCUAAUCGACAACCAUCACUUAAGAGUUACUGUGAUGAUACAACGUUUUACCUCACGCUACUAGGGCCGUCCUAUACCUUGCCAUGGGUAUAGAACCUGACUACUAAGUGGAUCCACUAUUCUAUGCUAAAAAGCACUAAGGAAUCAUCUAAAAAGUAUGACCCUUUUUUCUACCCAUGGUGGCUACAUGGUUUAUGGGGGUUGGGAGUUGUCUGAACUCUCCCUCAUAUCGGUGCUCAAUACUACUCCCAAAAUAUGAUACUAGCUCUUAUGUUUAAAAAACAUAAACUCUGUGGUUUGAGAUAAUUACUCAAAAACUAGCCUGAAGGCUCUCUUGGAAAUCAGUGUUUCCUCUCUUGCUUAAUUGUGAAAGCAUUUACUCUUUAUUGAAAACUAGCUCAAAAGCGCUUUUGGAAAUAUCAAUUUCCUUUCUUGUUUAAAUGUGAAAACAUUUUACUCUUUGGGAAUACAUAGUCCCGAUAUACUCUUUUGAAGAAAUGAACUUCAAUCUUUACUCUUUCUCAACUCAAAACUCAGGUCUUAAAACAAAGUUAAAACAUUUGUAAAAGAGUUUUGGAAGACUCUAUGAACUUCUCUUGACUUGGCUCUUAACUUUCCUUGAAUUUAAAUUUAUGGAUUCAAGGAUUGUGAUUUGUGAUAGGAAAGAUCUCAUGAUGUUUAGGAGUGUUUUUAGACAGUUAAACAUGAGAAACAAUCAAGAAACCACUAUGUGAAAGCAAGUCCGUGACAUGGAGAUGCAUUUAUAUAUUUGGUCGCAAAAUAAAUUUUGAGGCAGAAUGGUUCGUGACCACUCCGUGACACGGAGAACAAUUUUGGGAAAAGGUGGGGCAGGUUCGCGACGCGGACGAGGGCACCAGAAUUUCCCGACUAUUUCCUUCUUCAUUUUCUAACCCCAAUUCACCUAAACUUGGUUCUUUUUCUCAAAUUCUCUUUAGAUUCAGAUACCCAUUAUAUGUACAAAAGAAUCUAACUCAAAACAACUCUAACAAUCGACCUUAAACUCUCAAGAACUCCUAAAUCUCAUCCCAAAUUCAAGAACGAAAGCAAUUCAAGAACACAACUCAAGAAUAUCAAAGUCUCAAUCUUUUAGGAUGAAAAUCAUACUGAAAUAAACAUGUUUGGCGCAUGGUUGAACGAACCCAACUCUAUGUGAACUCACAUACCUUGUAGGAUUGAAUCCUUGGCGAAAUCCGCACUCAAUUCCUCAAGAAAUCGAUGAAUCCUUGCUUUUUCUCCUCUUCUUUUCUCUUCUCUCAAAACCCUAACUCUUUUUUUAUGAAGCUUAAACUGAACCAAAUCAGUUUAGACCCCAACUUAAAUACCAAAAACGAAAUUAAGUAAUUGGGUAGGGAAAAGACCAUAAUACCCUUCUAAAAUCCAGUUUUGACUUUCCUUAUCUAGACAGCCCAACUUCAAAUGGGCAUAUAUCUCUCAUACGAACUCUAAACUGAGCAAACUCGGUGGAGUUGGAAAUAUAAUUCAAAGAUCGUUCCUACGGUAUCUUGUAGUACACCUAAAUCAUCCUGAGCUAAGAGUUAUGGUCGUUUGAAGUUGACCCAAAACUCAUAUAUAACUUAACUUUGUCAAACUUUCCAAAUUUGAUUAUUUCCAAAAACGGUUUCUUUCUAAUUC